AGUGAACGCUGGCGGUAGGCCUAACACAUGCAAGUCGAACGGCAGCACAGUAAGAGCUUGCUCUUACGGGUGGCGAGUGGCGGACGGGUGAGGAAUACAUCGGAAUCUACUUUUUCGUGGGGGAUAACGUAGGGAAACUUACGCUAAUACCGCAUACGACCUACGGGUGAAAGCAGGGGAUCUUCGGACCUUGCGCGAUUGAAUGAGCCGAUGUCGGAUUAGCUAUUUGGCGGGGUAAAGGCCCACCAAGGCGACGAUCCGUAGCUGGUCUGAGAGGAUGAUCAGCCACACUGGAACUGAGACACGGUCCAGACUCCUACGGGAGGCAGCAGUGGGGAAUAUUGGACAAUGGGCGCAAGCCUGAUCCAGCCAUACCGCGUGGGUGAAGAAGGCCUUCGGGUUGUAAAGCCCUUUUGUUGGGAAAGAAAAGCAGCAGGUUAACACCCCGCUGUUCUGACGGUACCCAAAGAAUAAGCACCGGCUAACUUCGUG
This 492-nucleotide ribosomal RNA is filed under the name uncultured bacterium. Its description in RNAcentral is "partial 16S ribosomal RNA". It matches the Rfam family "Bacterial small subunit ribosomal RNA", at positions 29 to 507 of the family's 1533-position model. The record is from RNAcentral.